This 164-nucleotide ribosomal RNA is filed under the name uncultured bacterium. RNAcentral describes it as "partial 16S rRNA". It matches the Rfam family "Bacterial small subunit ribosomal RNA", at positions 355 to 511 of the family's 1533-position model. The record is from RNAcentral.
UAGGGAAUCUUCGGCAAUGGACGAAAGUCUGACCGAGCAACGCCGCGUGAGUGAAGAAGGUUUUCGGAUCGUAAAACUCUGUUGUUAAGGAAGAACACGUAUGAGAGUAACUGUUCAUACGUUGACGGUAUUUAACCAGAAAGUCACGGCUAACUACGUGCCAG